Non-coding RNA from Monodelphis domestica (gray short-tailed opossum), 1765 nucleotides. NCBI's taxonomy places the organism in Eukaryota, Metazoa, Chordata, Mammalia, Didelphimorphia, Didelphidae. The record is from RefSeq and is a predicted model, not a curated record.
GGAAACAGCGGCGGCAGAAGUUCCAGCUCUCAACAAGGGAGAGGAGUCGGGGCGGGAGGGCUGAGGGGAAAAAACCCGGCUCCUCUGCCCAGCGCAGCAGUGUCCUUUUCCAACCUUUCCCGCCCCAGCUGGGAAAGAUGCCCCUGGAAGUUGUGGUGGAGCUGCACAUUCACGCGAUCACUUGCCCAGGUGUGUUUCUCCCAGAGAAGAAAGGACUUGUACUUGGUGUUUGCAUCUUUGGUCAAUAUAGGGAGACACAAUGCUUUCCUGCUGUGUUCCCCCUGAUGAUUCACGAGGUUAUGAAAUUUGACAAGAUAUUUGUAACUGCACUUGAUCCAGCCGCUGUAGCGGAGCUUCUAGAAACUUACAGGAUCAGGUUUGAACUAAUACAGCUAAUAUAUCCAGAUGGGGAAUUGUUGGCCUACUAUGAAGAAAACACCCGGGACUUUCUGUUCCCUGAACCCAGGCUGACUCCUCUUUAUCCUGGAAAAGAUCGAGAACUGCUAAUGAAGACACCUCUAGGCUUCCCAGGCAUCUCUCCAAAAAUAGAGUUUUCUACGAUGACAGCCAUCAAAGAACUUUCUUGUCCAUUAAAGAGACUUUUUGAAGAAAGGUUGAGACAAUUGAGGCCUUCCUCUGCAUCAUGUUUUAAGGGAGGGUUCAGUCCUCAGCUAAAUGCUUUAAGAGCCAGGACAAAGGAGGAUACUUGUGAGAGGAUGAGCAAAAGCUUACGAUCUCGUUCUCCAUCACCACAUGUGAUACGGCGCCUUUGCCAGGAGGAGAGGCCAGUGCAUUCAAGCCUUGUAUCUCGUGGUUUAAAAUCCUUACCAGAAAACAAACCUCCAUUUGUAGUUAGACAUGUAGACAGUUCAAAGCCAUUUGGUGAACAAAUUCCUUUUAAACCAAACACUCCAAAGUCCAGGAAAAAAAUCGACUUUACAUGCUUUGAUUUUCCCCUGAAAAGAGCUUCUUCUCUUGACAGCAUGGCAGCUGAUUUAAAGAUUGAAAGGGAUCAAGAUGAAUGGAAUAUUCGCAAGCAUAAAUUAUUAUCUACAUAUUCAGAUAGAUGUGGAAGUAUCUUGUGUGGUCAUAGUAAUCAAGGGGAUUCCAGUUUUCAUGAGACAAGUUCACAUGCUGCUCGUUACCACCGAUCGCUUAGUCCACUUCAGCAUUGGUACCCUCAACAAGACAGAUCAUGCUGCAGCCCUCGCUUCACUUGGGAGAAGAUUCAUGACAGGGUACGGGAUCUUCUGACCUCUCGAAAAGCCCGACAACGACUCUGCCUGGGAGUAACUGACCCUGAAGUUGAUGAAAUCCUUGAAAGAAGAAACCCCUGUUUGAGGCACUCUCCACUACACGAACCUUUUGAGUACAAAUACUACUAAGUAAUUGUCACUUGUAUAGGAUUCUGUAUUAUGGUCUUCCUAAUUUUACAAUGAGAGCAAUCAGGGGAAGUUUGAAGAACUCAUUUAAAGUAACAGUACAUGCACUCAUUUAGAGCUGAACAGCCUUUCAUGUUAUCUCUAAGAAGCCAUCUUGUUCUGUCUCUUUCUCUUUGAAUGAAAUCCUGUACUGUGUAUUUUUACCAGGAUGGUCCCGCCUGAGAUGAUACUGAAAUACUGAAGGAGGAGGGACAGUACAUUCCAACAUGGAAGUAUUCGGGUUUUAUUUGGAAGAUCUUGCUCAUCAGGCCAGUCUUUGAUGGCAAGAGGACAAUGGUGGAUCUCCAUAGUACAAUAAAGCUCAGUGGCAGGCUCAUGUGCAA